This 433-nucleotide ribosomal RNA is filed under the name uncultured bacterium. Its description in RNAcentral is "partial 16S ribosomal RNA". It matches the Rfam family "Bacterial small subunit ribosomal RNA", at positions 29 to 507 of the family's 1533-position model. The record is from RNAcentral.
AACGAACGCUGGCGGCAUGCCUAACACAUGCAAGUCGAACGAGACCUUCGGGUCUAGUGGCGCACGUGUGCGUAACGCGUGGGAACCUGCCCUUAGGUUCGGAAUAACUCCCCGAAAGGGGUGCUAAUACCGGAUAAUGCCUUCGGACCAAAGAUUUAUCGCCUUUGGAUGGGCCCGCGUUGGAUUAGCUAGUUGGUAGGGUAAACGCCUACCAAGGCGACGAUCCAUAGCUGGUCUGAGAGGAUGAUCAGCCACACUGGGACUGAGACACGGCCCAGACUCCUACGGGAGGCAGCAGUGGGGAAUAUUGGACAAUGGGCGAAAGCCUGAUCCAGCAAUGCCGCGUGAGUGAUGAAGGCCUUAGGGUUGUAAAGCUCUUUUACCCGGGAUGAUAAUGACAGUACCGGGAGAAUAAGCUCCGGCUAACUCCGUG